This is a long non-coding RNA of Papaver somniferum (opium poppy), 1884 nucleotides long. RefSeq lists it as uncharacterized. NCBI's taxonomy places the organism in Eukaryota, Viridiplantae, Streptophyta, Magnoliopsida, Ranunculales, Papaveraceae. The transcript has 10 exons. The record is from RefSeq and is a predicted model, not a curated record.
CUCACCUUCACAGCCAAACUCGUAGCUCUUUCUCUCAUUUUAUAUUUCCUCUUCUUUCACAAAUCCCUCUUGUUCUCUUCUUUCACUGUUGUUUCUCAGACAACAAAUCUUAUAAAUCGAAAGAGUAAAAGCUCCUCAUCCAAGAAAGAAAAUCGUUUGAUCUUAACUCUUCAUUCGUGAGCAAAGACGAACCCUAGAAGAUCCAGUAAACCAAAUCUGUUCACCUAGCAGAUUUAUAUUCGAGGUCUUCUUCUUCUUUGAAGGGUUUUGUAGUGAACAACAUAUUUCAGUCGGUCGGGUGGUGAUGAGACUUAAGUUGAUAUUGUUAAUUCGAGAUUGGAUUCUAAUGUAUUAUAUACUAUUUUCAUGGCUUGAAUGAUUGCUGAUGGAUUUGUUGUUAGUGGUGGAGUAUGCUGGUGAUGUUGGUUACACUAAGGGUGCUGUUAGUGGUGGUGUUUGGAAGUGGUGAUGCUGCUACAAGGUGAUGGUGGUGGUGGUCUCUUAACAAUUACAUGGUCGGUGCGCGCAAUACUGUUCUAAUUGAUGCAUUAUCAAGGCGUAUACCGCUUGUCAGUGACCUUCCCACCAUUAUCUUGGGUGCUGAUGUUACCCAUCUCACCAAGGAUAGGAUUCAAGCCCCUCCAUCGCCGCUGUUGUGGCAUCACAAGAUUGACCUGAGGCGAUGAAGUGUGCUGGUUUCGUGUGUGCUCAAGCCCAUUGCCAAGAGUUGAUUCAGAACUGUGGCCUGAGGCGAUGAAGUAUUGCAAAAUCCAGUUCGAGAACUGUGACGGGAGGCAUGGGAACUUCUUAUCCGUUUCCGUAGAGCAACUGGACAGAAGCCUCAGUAUAAUAUAAUUUGCAGGUAAUUUCAGUGUUCAUAAUGUAGCCAAUUGGCUUAUGUCUACUUCCUUUUCUUUUCUUUUCUUUCGGAUCCAUUUUCUGCUUUCAGGGAUGGAGUAAGUGAGGGUCAGUUUUAUCAAGUUCUACUCUAUGAGCUUGAUGUUAUUCACAAGGACUAAUUAUGAUGGUUUUAAAUCCUUUAAAGCUUUUAACAAUACCAUUGUCUAAAGCUUCAAAAGCCUGAAAACAAAGCUUUCGCUCAACUAUUUCAGAAGAAUAAUGCUGGGAAGAUUUUGGAAUGCCACUUGAACUUGUUAAAUGUGAUUUGUGUUGGUGAUUAUCUACCAGAUAGAGUUAUCAAUCUCAUUCUCCAAUACUUGAGUAACAGGUGUGAAGAACCCUGGUUUGGGUCUAAGUUAUCAUCUGGUUACAAAUUUUGAUUCAUUAAGCAUGGGCUCGACCUUCUAUAAGGUCUUCAAGACGAAACCAAGUGUACUAAGAAAUCACCGAAGAUUUACAACUAGUGAUGAUGGAAAGAUGAAACUCCAGGCAAUGCUUCCUCCAACUUGUUGCUCCUAUCCUCGAAAGUGAACUCUGAUCAGUUGCAGUUGUUGCUAAUUGCUGGCUUGAUCUUCUUUAUGCAUGCAUCUCUAUCAUUUUUAUGUACAUAUAUAGUAGUGUUGUUCUAGUGUUGGGAAGGACACAAAUAGGUGUUACCGUCUUGCAUUCCAUCUUCCAUUCAAAAUGCCUUUGAAGCUUCAACUUGCUGUCUUACAUUAAGAUUCCAUGUAUAACCCAUUAUGUAUCUUGUGCUCGAGAUAUGUCAAGGUCGUGAAUUAAUGAACUAGUAACGUUUGUGUCGUUGUGUCGAUGUUGGACAGAGGCAGGUAAAUAGAUUGACAUCAUAUUGGUUAGGAUACCCACCUUUAUAGAUCACUGUCCUCUCAUGUGCAUGGCAUGGUUAUUGUUUUUAUAAGCAUUUUCUUGAGUAUUGUGACCUCCCCACAUUCCACAUUAAUCAGCUGAUGGCUUUUGCCGUGCAGG